Molecule: microRNA precursor, 103 nt
Filed under: Mus pahari (shrew mouse)
Lineage: Eukaryota; Metazoa; Chordata; Mammalia; Rodentia; Muridae
Description: microRNA 6419 (MGP_PahariEiJ_G0007303.1)
Source: RNAcentral
AUUCACUCUGCUUCAAAACUGUUGAGAGUAGCAGCAAUCUGAUACACAGAGAAUGAAACAGUGUUGCAGGUGCUGCUGAGUCUCAGAAGUGAGAUAAGAAACA